GGGAAGGGAAGUGACUUUACCAAGAACCUGGCCUGUGAAGAGUGGGAGGACGAAGGGGAAAGUGGCUGAGGGGCUUCUCACUAUUUUUAAGACGGACAAGACUUGAGUCCAGCUGAAGUCUGAGAGGAAGACGUAAACAGGGAGAGGCUGGAGGCAGAAGAGAGCAUGACGGGGCUUUAUACUGUUGGUUAAACUUCUGCCGGCGGACGCAGCAGCAGGCGGCCAGCGUGGUGAGGAGGAUGGCAGAGACCAGUAUGAAGGCCUCCAGGAACCCCAGCCUUUCCCAGAAAAAGGUCUGACUUCCACAAUCACCGGGCUCAGGCUCACCGCCCCCAGCUUCUGUCUCCGCCAACCCGUUCUGACCCACUCACUGCUAAAUGCCUGACAACUGCUCAAAAGCUCUACUCUGACAAUGAGGCAGCUUGGCUUAAACUUCUCCACGGUGAAGUCCAGGAUCCCCAGCAGGGCCUUCGAGGCUGUUUGUAGCCCCUGCCAACCUGUCCCCCACCUCCCACCCCAGCCCACAUGCAGUGACCACAGCUGACCACUGCCCAUCAUGCGCUCCCACACCCACUGCUGGGGCCUGCUCCCUGAGCUGGUUAUGCCAUCCCCAACCAGAUCCACACAUGAACUCUUCACACUGAGCUUCAGGGCCUCCUCCACCAGGGAGCCCUCCCUGACUGUGCUUCCUCUCAGAGCUUUGCCCCGCUGAAUUGUGGCUGUGUGUGUGAGGACCUGCUAGACAGCGAGCUCAGAGCAAACAGGGACUGGUUUGGUGGAUGUGCAUGCCUUGGACCUGACUAGCAAGUCAAUUUUUCCUAAUGAAUGAGUCCCAGACAUCAUCAGUUUAGUAAAGGUCUGAGGCACUGAAUCAAUCACUUCUCUAGGAGGAAAGAAAAUGCAUAAUUGAUAUUUUCAAAAUAUAGUCAAAGACGGGUAGAGCAAGAAGAGUUCAGCUGACCCACUUCCCAGAUGUGAACACUGAGGCCUGAAGAUGGCAGUGACUUGCGUGAAUUCACAGUGAGCCAGUGGCUGAGCUGGUAGGGAGGGAACACAAGCCGGUGUGUUCCUCCCCUGGUCCAGCUCUGCGCUUCCUCCUGAGAGCCCCAAGGUGAGUAGGGGGAGGAAGAGACCUGCCCAGCCUCAGGCCUCCGUGUGGCUCUUCUUACUCCAUGCAGCACAGUGACUCCAUGUAGCCUCCAAGGGAGGCAGCUUCACAGGGGCCUCAGGAGGCCCAGGGAUGCCCCGUCAGUUGGGCACCUGUGUGAACCUGAAACCUGCCCAGCUGCCUUGCCCAUCCUUGCCCUUCCUCCCUCACAACCUCUCUGUCUGCAGGGGCCACUAAACAUAGCCUCCUCCUCACAGCCCUUACCCCCUGGGGCAUUCCUUACUUAAAGCAGAAACAACAAAAUGACCUGUGAUGGAGCCCCAGCUGUGUCAGGCUGCGUGCUGAGUGCAGAGACCCCCUACCCCAUUAAAUCUUCCCAGGCAUUGUUCA
Molecule: long non-coding RNA, 1498 nt
Organism: Homo sapiens (human)
Lineage: Eukaryota; Metazoa; Chordata; Mammalia; Primates; Hominidae
Source: Ensembl